Molecule: ribosomal RNA, 506 nt
Filed under: uncultured bacterium
Lineage: Bacteria
Description: bacterial SSU rRNA
Rfam family: Bacterial small subunit ribosomal RNA
Source: RNAcentral
CUACGUGCCAGCAGCCGCGGUAAUACGGAAGGUCCAGGCGUUAUCCGGAUUUAUUGGGUUUAAAGGGAGCGUAGGCUGGAGAUUAAGUGUGUUGUGAAAUGUAGACGCUCAACGUCUGAAUUGCAGCGCAUACUGGUUUCCUUGAGUACGCACAACGUUGGCGGAAUUCGUCGUGUAGCGGUGAAAUGCUUAGAUAUGACGAAGAACUCCGAUUGCGAAGGCAGCUGACGGGAGCGCAACUGACGCUUAAGCUCGAAGGUGCGGGUAUCAAACAGGAUUAGAUACCCUGGUAGUCCGCACAGUAAACGAUGGAUGCCCGCUGUUAGCGCCUGGCGUUAGCGGCUAAGCGAAAGCAUUAAGCAUCCCACCUGGGGAGUACGCCGGCAACGGUGAAACUCAAAGGAAUUGACGGGGGCCCGCACAAGCGGAGGAACAUGUGGUUUAAUUCGAUGAUACGCGAGGAACCUUACCCGGGCUUGAACUAACGGUGACGAAUCUAGAGAUAG